This 253-nucleotide ribosomal RNA is filed under the name uncultured bacterium. Its description in RNAcentral is "partial 16S ribosomal RNA". It matches the Rfam family "Bacterial small subunit ribosomal RNA", at positions 524 to 776 of the family's 1533-position model. The record is from RNAcentral.
UACGUAGGGGGCAAGCGUUGUCCGGAAUCAUUGGGCGUAAAGGGCGCGUAGGCGGCCAUGCGUGUCUUCCGUGAAAUCCCUCGGCUUAACUGAGGACGUGCGGAAGAAACUGCAAGGCUCGAGUCCGGGAGAGGGGGGUGGAAUUCCCAGUGUAGCGGUGAAAUGCGUAGAUAUUGGGAGGAACACCGGUGGCGAAGGCGGCCCCCUGGACCGGUACUGACGCUGAGACGCGAAAGCGUGGGGAGCAAACAGG